This 465-nucleotide ribosomal RNA is filed under the name uncultured bacterium. Its description in RNAcentral is "partial 16S ribosomal RNA". It matches the Rfam family "Bacterial small subunit ribosomal RNA", at positions 28 to 507 of the family's 1533-position model. The record is from RNAcentral.
GACGAACGCUGGCGGCGUGCUUAACACAUGCAAGUCGAACGGAAAGGCCCCUUUGGGGGUACUCGAGUGGCGAACGGGUGAGUAACACGUGAGUAACCUCCCCUUGACUCCGGGAUACCUUCAGGAAACUGGGGCUAAUACCGGAUAGGAAUCCUUGCUGCAUGGAGGGGGUUGGCAAGCUUCGGCGGUUUUGGAUGGACUCGCGGCUGAGCCGCUUGUUGGUGGGGUAGUGGCUUACCAAGGCUUUGACGGCUAGCCGGCCUUGGAGGGCGACCGGUAACAUUGAGACUGGGACACGGCCACGACUCCGACUGGUGGCAGCAGUAGGGAAUAGUGCACUAUGGGCAGGGGCCAGAUGCAGAAAUGGCGCGGGCGGGAGGACGACGUUGGCGUUGUGGUCGUCAAGCAGCAGGAGCGAGGAAGGUAGUGACGGUACCUGCAGAAGAAGCACCGGCUAACUACGUG